UACGUAGGUGGCGAGCGUUGUCCGGAUUUACUGGGCGUAAAGGGAGCGUAGGCGGGCUUUUAAGUGAGAUGUGAAAUACUCGGGCUCAACUUGAGUGCUGCAUUUCAAACUGGAAGUCUAGAGUGCAGGAGAGGAGAAUGGAAUUCCUAGUGUAGCGGUGAAAUGCGUAGAGAUUAGGAAGAACACCAGUGGCGAAGGCGAUUCUCUGGACUGUAACUGACGCUGAGGCUCGAAAGCGUGGGUAGCGAACAGG
Molecule: ribosomal RNA, 253 nt
Filed under: uncultured bacterium
Lineage: Bacteria
Description: partial 16S ribosomal RNA
Rfam family: Bacterial small subunit ribosomal RNA
Source: RNAcentral